CUGGUGGUGGGUGGCAAUGAUGAACUUUCCUCUUUUACACCCUUGCUAACGUCACAUUUAGAAGAACCAUCUGGACCCUUUGCACAUUUAGAACAGCCGCAUCAGCAGCAUAUGCUACCGUUUCAGGGUCUGGCAGGCGAGAACCUUUCCAACGGGACGGAAGGUGACAUCAUGCCACAGCUCAGGGACGAGGGGGCAUACAUGCUCUCUACGACCUGGAACAGCAUCUUGGAAGAGUGAAUGGGCAGUAGAGGGCACGCCUUCAUCCAUCAGCUGAUAAAGACGCGUCACACCAACAUCAGUGACCCUCUGACGAAGGUGGAAGUGCCCGCUGAAACAUGUCAGGGUUGGAAAGGAGCUGCGAGCCUGCCAGCGAGAGGUCCAGUGCUGCGAGAGGAAGGUCUCGGUAGCCGAAACUCACCAGCUGAACCGGAGGAGCCAAGCACUGGUUCUCAUCAUCUACCUGCUGGGAGAUGACCUCCAAGUCUGAGAGAGCUGCAGUCUCAGUGUCCCUACAAGACCAACAAGAGAAGAACCACAUCGGAUAUUUAUACGGUGGAUCACUGUCACCCUGAACUAGUUGAACUGACUAAGGCUACAUUCAUACUGUAGAGCGCGAUGCCCAAUUUGAAUUUUCGGGGGUUUUUUUGUAUCCUGAAAUUUCUUUCUUAACAAGAGGCAAUAUUGUACCACUGUACAAAUGAGCCCCGGUUUGAACUCUUCACACUGUACAUAGGCAAAGAAAUCGGAAUUGGCACUCAGUGUGAACGUGGCCUAAAAGCCCUUAUUACCAUCGCAAAUUGAAAG
Molecule: long non-coding RNA, 807 nt
Organism: Corythoichthys intestinalis (scribbled pipefish)
Lineage: Eukaryota; Metazoa; Chordata; Actinopteri; Syngnathiformes; Syngnathidae
Exons: 3
Source: RefSeq, a predicted model, not a curated record